RNAcentral lists this transfer RNA (72 nucleotides) under Camelus bactrianus (Bactrian camel). It matches the Rfam family "tRNA". From Rfam's summary of the family: Transfer RNA (tRNA) molecules are approximately 80 nucleotides in length. RNAcentral also lists the same sequence under 2 other names. Lineage: Eukaryota; Metazoa; Chordata; Mammalia; Artiodactyla; Camelidae. The record is from Rfam by way of RNAcentral.
CGGGGUAGAGCUCAGCAGUAAAGCGCGUGCUUAGUAUGUGUGAGGUCCUGGGUUCAAUCCCCAGUAUCUCCA